GGAAUAUUGCGCAAUGGGCGAAAGCCUGACGCAGCGACGCCGCGUGUGGGAGGAAGCCUUUCGGGGUGUAAACCACUGUCAGAGGGGAAGAACAGCGUUUCGUCGAACAGGCGGAGCGUUUGACGGUACCCCCAAAGCACGCGCCGGCUAACUCCGUGCCAGCAGCCGCGGUAAGACGGAGGGCGCAAGCGUUGUUCGGAAUUACUGGGCGUAAAGCGCGGGCAGGUGGCUCGUUAAGUCGUUUGUGAAAAUCCGGGGCUCAACCCCGUGAAAUGCAUACGAUACUGGCGAGCUAGAGAUCGGUAGAGGCUAGCGGAAUUCCUGGUGUAGCGGUGGAAUGCGUAGAUAUCAGGAAGAACACCCGUGGCGAAGGCGGCUAGCUGGGCCGAGUCUGACACUCAUCCGCGAAAGCGUGGGGAGCAAAC
This 425-nucleotide ribosomal RNA is filed under the name uncultured bacterium. Its description in RNAcentral is "bacterial SSU rRNA". It matches the Rfam family "Bacterial small subunit ribosomal RNA", at positions 358 to 773 of the family's 1533-position model. The record is from RNAcentral.